This 1055-nucleotide ribosomal RNA is filed under the name Klebsiella pneumoniae. RNAcentral's name for it is "bacterial SSU rRNA". It matches the Rfam family "Bacterial small subunit ribosomal RNA", at positions 56 to 1103 of the family's 1533-position model. The record is from RNAcentral. Lineage: Bacteria; Pseudomonadati; Pseudomonadota; Gammaproteobacteria; Enterobacterales; Enterobacteriaceae.
UGCAGUCGAGCGGUAGCACAGAGAGCUUGCUCUCGGGUGACGAGCGGCGGACGGGUGAGUAAUGUCUGGGAAACUGCCUGAUGGAGGGGGAUAACUACUGGAAACGGUAGCUAAUACCGCAUAAUGUCGCAAGACCAAAGUGGGGGACCUUCGGGCCUCAUGCCAUCAGAUGUGCCCAGAUGGGAUUAGCUAGUAGGUGGGGUAACGGCUCACCUAGGCGACGAUCCCUAGCUGGUCUGAGAGGAUGACCAGCCACACUGGAACUGAGACACGGUCCAGACUCCUACGGGAGGCAGCAGUGGGGAAUAUUGCACAAUGGGCGCAAGCCUGAUGCAGCCAUGCCGCGUGUGUGAAGAAGGCCUUCGGGUUGUAAAGCACUUUCAGCGGGGAGGAAGGCGGUGAGGUUAAUAACCUUGUCGAUUGACGUUACCCGCAGAAGAAGCACCGGCUAACUCCGUGCCAGCAGCCGCGGUAAUACGGAGGGUGCAAGCGUUAAUCGGAAUUACUGGGCGUAAAGCGCACGCAGGCGGUCUGUCAAGUCGGAUGUGAAAUCCCCGGGCUCAACCUGGGAACUGCAUUCGAAACUGGCAGGCUAGAGUCUUGUAGAGGGGGGUAGAAUUCCAGGUGUAGCGGUGAAAUGCGUAGAGAUCUGGAGGAAUACCGGUGGCGAAGGCGGCCCCCUGGACAAAGACUGACGCUCAGGUGCGAAAGCGUGGGGAGCAAACAGGAUUAGAUACCCUGGUAGUCCACGCCGUAAACGAUGUCGAUUUGGAGGUUGUGCCCUUGAGGCGUGGCUUCCGGAGCUAACGCGUUAAAUCGACCGCCUGGGGAGUACGGCCGCAAGGUUAAAACUCAAAUGAAUUGACGGGGGCCCGCACAAGCGGUGGAGCAUGUGGUUUAAUUCGAUGCAACGCGAAGAACCUUACCUGGUCUUGACUUCCACAGAACUUUCCAGAGAUGGAUUGGUGCCUUCGGGAACUGUGAAACAGGUGCUGCAUGGCUGUCGUCAGCUCGUGUUGUGAAAUGUUGGGUUAAGUCCCGCAACGAGCGCACCC